Molecule: ribosomal RNA, 504 nt
Filed under: uncultured bacterium
Lineage: Bacteria
Description: bacterial SSU rRNA
Rfam family: Bacterial small subunit ribosomal RNA
Source: RNAcentral
UAGUCCCAGCCGUAAACGGUGCGCACUUGGUGUUGGCGGUAUUGACCCCGCCAGUGCCGGAGCUAACGCGUUAAGUGCGCCGCCUGGGGAGUACGGCCGCAAGGCUAAAACUCAAAGAAAUUGACGGGGGCCCGCACAAGCGGAGGAGCAUGUGGCUUAAUUCGAUGCAACGCGAAGAACCUUACCUGGGCUUGACAUGCAGCUGCUCAUCCCGAGAAAUCGGGACUCUUUUGAAGGUGCUGCACAGGUGCUGCAUGGCUGUCGUCAGUUCGUGCCGUGAGGUGUUGGGUUAAGUCCCGCAACGAACGCAACCCUUGUGGUUAGUUGCUACCGGCGGUGAUGAGCCGUCGGGCACUCUAGCCAGACUGCCCGUACAAGCGGGAGGAAGGUGGGGAUGACGUCAAGUCAGUAUGGCCCUUACGCCCAGGGCUGCACACGUGCUACAAUGGUCAGUACAAUGGGAAGCAAUACCGCGAGGUGGAACAAAUCCUCAAAACUGGCCCC